AUUCACAGCUUUUAUUUUCACCAGAGUGAGAAUUACGUCUUUCACUUCAUUCCUGGAAAACAAACAAAACUUUUUAAAAAUGAAAGCUGUCAUUUAAGCUC
Molecule: long non-coding RNA, 101 nt
Organism: Dipodomys spectabilis (banner-tailed kangaroo rat)
Lineage: Eukaryota; Metazoa; Chordata; Mammalia; Rodentia; Heteromyidae
Exons: 3
Source: RefSeq, a predicted model, not a curated record